RNAcentral lists this ribosomal RNA (1306 nucleotides) under uncultured bacterium. RNAcentral describes it as "bacterial SSU rRNA". It matches the Rfam family "Bacterial small subunit ribosomal RNA", at positions 28 to 1381 of the family's 1533-position model. The record is from RNAcentral.
AACGUACGCUGGCGGCACGCCUAACACAUGCAAGUCGAACGAAGUAGCAAUACUUAGUGGCAGACGGGUGAGUAACAUGUAGGUAUCUGCCCUUUGGCCUGGAAUAACACGAGGAAACUUGUGCUAAUACCGGAUAAGUCUUUACGGAGAAAGCUUUAUGCACCAUUGGAUGAGCCUGCACUUGAUUAGUUUGUUGGUGGGGUAAUGGCCUACCAAGACUGUGAUCAAUAGCUGAUUUGAGAGGAUGAUCAGCCACAUUGGGACUGAGACACGGCCCAAACUCCUACGGGAGGCAGCAGUGGGGAAUCUUGCACAAUGGAGGAAACUCUGAUGCGGCGAUGCCGCGUGAGUGAAGAAGGCCCUUGGGUUGUAAAGCUCUUUCGUCGGGGAAGAAAAUGACUGUACCCGAAUAAGAAGGUCCGGCUAACUUCGUGCCAGCAGCCGCGGUAAUACGAAGGGACCUAGCGUAGUUCGGAAUUACUGGGCUUAAAGAGUUCGUAGGUGGUUGAAAAAGUUAGUGGUGAAAUCCCAGAGCUUAACUCUGGAACUGCCAUUAAAACUUUUCAGCUAGAGUAUGAUAGAGGAAAGCAGAAUUUCUAGUGUAGAGGUGAAAUUCGUAGAUAUUAGAAAGAAUACCAAUUGCGAAGGCAGCUUUCUGGAUCAUUACUGACACUGAGGAACGAAAGCAUGGGUAGCGAAGAGGAUUAGAUACCCUCGUAGUCCAUGCCGUAAACGAUGUGUGUUAGACGUUGGAAAUUUAUUUUCAGUGUCGCAGGGAAACCGAUAAACACACCGCCUGGGGAGUACGACCGCAAGGUUAAAACUCAAAUGAAUUGACGGGGACCCGCACAAGUAGUGGAGCAUGUGGUUUAAUUCGAAGAUACGCGCAGAACCUUACCAACACUUGACAUGUUCGUCGCGACUCUAAGAGAUUAGAGUUUUCGGUUCGGCCGGACGAAACACAGGUGCUGCAUGGCUGUCGUCAGCUCGUGUCGUGAGAUGUUGGGUUAAGUCCCGCAACGAGCGCAACCCUCACUUUUAGUUGCCAUCAUUAAGUUGGGCACUCUGAAAGAACUGCCAGUGAUAAGCUGGAGGAAGGUGGGGAUGACGUCAAGUCCUCAUGGCCCUUACGUGUUGGGCUACACACGUGCUACAAUGGUAUCUACAACAGGAAGCAAGACUGCGAAGUUAAGCAAAUCCCUAAAAGAUACCUCAGUUCGGAUUGCACUCUGCAACUCGAGUGCAUGAAGCUGGAAUUACUAGUAAUCGUGGAUCAGCGUGCCACGGUGAAUGCGUUCCCGGGUCU